This 423-nucleotide long non-coding RNA is filed under the name Bos taurus (domestic cattle). Its description in RNAcentral is "long non-coding RNA NONBTAT006952". Lineage: Eukaryota; Metazoa; Chordata; Mammalia; Artiodactyla; Bovidae. The record is from RNAcentral.
UAUUUUCAUUCAUCACCAUUGCAACCAUCUCAUUUUUGUGGUGUGUGAAACUUCAGAGACUGGUUAUGUGGUUAGAGAUUGUUUUUUAGGGUUAUUUUCUUUUGGGGUUGUUGGACCUGCAAUCCCUUGAAUUUCUCCCAUAAAUUUAAAUUAACUUGGGAAUUUUAUACAUGUACAGAUAUGUCCACAUACAUAUUUAAUAAGGAAUCUUUUAAAAUAUUUUAAUCCUCUAUGUGAACAAAAAAUUCCCAGGCUCAAACAAAAGCAUAUCAGAUUAUGUCUGAUUUGUUUGCAAAGGCUGAGCUGGUCUCCUUGCUUUCUUGCUUAUGCUUUAAUGAGCUGGGCUAUUUUUCUCUCCUGUUUAUUAUUUUAAAUGUUUGAAGUUUGACGUGAACGGGAGGAACACUCAGAUUCAGAGCACGU